This 3993-nucleotide long non-coding RNA is filed under the name Mus musculus (house mouse). RNAcentral's name for it is "long non-coding RNA chr11:79973592-79977585". The record is from RNAcentral. Lineage: Eukaryota; Metazoa; Chordata; Mammalia; Rodentia; Muridae.
UUCUACCUCUACCAGGAGCCUUCUUCCUUCCACAGCUUGACAGCUCUUAUUAUGCUUUUAGGCAUAGAAUCAACCCAUUGUGGCUCACUUUGAUCCGAACACGCCUUGUAGUGACUUGCGGGGCAGGGCUGAGAGACUCGGUACCGGGGAGUCGCGGGAGUCGGGAACACACUGCCGAGCCGCCACCUGCCCUCCUGCCUGCACAUUUCCUUUGAGCAGAGCCUUUGAGGGCUGCGAAGCUGGAGGAGUUAGGGUAAGACAGUGAGGGCAGCGCUUAGCUAGUUAGGAGGUGAGAAUCUCCGCCACGCCAGGGUGGGAAGAAAGGGUCAAGUCUGAGGUGAGGAUGGAGAUAGGUCCUAGGUAUAGAAGAGGGUUCCAGGUCUGGUGUGAGAGUGGAGAGAGGAUCAAGAUGGGAGACAGAGAUCAAGAUCUGAAGUGAUGAGAAGGAUUCAUGUCUUAGAAAGGCUGAGGGGAGGUCCUGGGAGGAUGUGUGGGUCUUCAGUGAUGGAUUGGUUAAGACUAGAAUUGGAAAAGGGACCCAGGUCUGAAGAGGGGUGGGAUUGAGGCUGGGGUGAGAGAGGGAUCUAGGUCGGAGGUGGGGUGGGAACGGGAGCACUAAGACUGGUGGAGUCCGCACUGGCGAACGGACAGGUCUUAGUUAGCUGGGUGUCGCAGCUCCGGGUGCAGGAAUGGAACCGAUGCUUUCCUCACGGAGCAGGCACCGCCCUAAGGAAGUCUCCCGCCGGCCCGGGUCCGCGACUGCGCUCGCGACAACAGGACCGGGUCACCAUCCUCCCGCCUGGCCUCAGCUCCCUGAUCCUUCUCCGAGCGAGCGACGGACCGGCCUCUGCCCACCACACGUUCCUUGUGAAAGCAGGCCGUGGGCGGUGCCCGGGCUUCAGCCUUCCCAGAAGCCGCUUUUCCUGGGGCUCUUGAGUUGAGGAGAGCACUCCCUGCCGUUUCCCCCAAAGCAGGUGAUUAUGAAGUCUUCAUCAAUCUGAAAGGGGGUUCAAGACUGCAGGAAAACUCUGUCUUUACGGAGAGACGAGCGGAGUCUGGUUCCCACUAAGUGUGGUAUUGUCGCUGGUCCCUCGCCAGUUCUGCUCUUCAUUCAUCUUCUUCAAUUCUCCCCCCAAAGGGCAACUCAAUUGUGGGCUAAAUAAAACUUUAAUUUACAUUAUUAUGGAAUCAAAGCUACUGUUCACGGUGUCCCUGUGUAGUAUAACGCAGCGGUAUUUCCUUUACCAGCCUUUUGUUUUUCCCGGGAUCAGUUAUUAUGAAAUGUGGUUUAUUAAGCUUUCUAUGUACUCAUGAUCCAUUAAUGUCCCCUCUAAUGCGCUGUCCGAACUGUAAAUAUUCACAAUGUCUUCCUAAUACGAUCGUGACUGCGGAACGGUUGAAUAGGAAGCCAAUUGCACAACUGUUGUUCUAGGGUUUCUCUUCACUGUCGUCCUGGGAUUUCAGCUCUUGUGUGAGUCCCUUGUGAUCUGGAUUCUGUAUUUAUUUUUCCUUUAGUUUGGUAGGGCACAUUCUCCAGUAACUUUCUGAAAAGGGGUAAGAUGAUAAAAAAAAAUUAAAGAUCUUAAUUGUCUCAAAAUUUCUUUGGUUGAUCACCUCACUUGAUUAAUGUGGUAAUUUGUCUGAUUAUAUGAUUCUUUUUGCUUGUUAGGUUUUGGUUUUUCAAGACAGGGUUUCUCUAUUUUUGAUAUUCUGAAAAGGCAGGAAGACAUGCCUUAAUGUGUGUCUUUUCAUUCAUUGAGCUGGGUAGCCCGGCUCAGUUUAGCUAGGUUUGGGUUUAGUUCUGGAAAUGUUUUUGUGUUGCUUAGUUUCCCUUCACAUUGUUCAUUCUGUUUCUGUUCCAGCUUCAUUUCUCUUGUUGUGAUAAAAACACUCAGACAAAAGCAACUCAGCGGAGACGGGAUCUGCUUUAGAUGGCAAUUUCAGGCUGCAUGCACAGUCCAUUAUUGUGGGGAAGUCAAGGUGGCAGGAACUUGAGAACAGCUAGUCUCAGGCAAGGGGGGGAGGGGCAGGAAAAAGGGAGAGAGAGAGAGAGAUGUAUGUAAGCUAACUUGCAUUCAACACCCUCUCUAAACUUACAUGGUCCUCAAACUCCUGGCCUAAGGAAUGGUACUACCCCCAGUGGCCUGGAUCUUCACAGAGAAUCAAGAUAAUCUCCCACAGGCCAACCUGAUCUAGACAGUCCCUCACUGCGACUCUUCCCAAGUGAUUCUAUAUUGAGUCAAAAUGACAAUUAAAAGUAAUUAUCACAGGCUGGUGAGAUGGCUCAGUGGGUAAGAGCACCCGACUGCUCUUCCGAAGGUUCAGAGUUCAAAUCCCAGCAACCACAUGGUGGCUCACAACCAUCCAUAACGAGAUCUGACUCCCUCUUCUGGAGUGUCUGAAGACAGCUACAGUGUACUUACAUAUAAUAAAUAAAUAAAUCUUUAAAAAAAAAUAAGGAACCAUCACAAUCUCAUCACACACACACUCCACUCACCUCUGCAUCUUGCAGCAGUAAAUCUCCAACCCAACUAUGCCCUGGCAAUGAUAACACAACUCAGUUUAUUUGAAUACAUGCUGUGAGCCUAGAUUGGGCAGAUCUACUGCCACACUAUUCUAUGAGACCCCUUAGAACUUGUGGUUUCUCCAGGCCAUGUGCUUCUGCUCCACUUUUCUUCUUCCUCCUCCUCUCCCUCUCCAUUUUCUCUAUCUUCUCUCCCCCUCAACCUUCCCCUCCACCUUCCCUUUUAUCUGCCCAAUCAUCAGCUCUCCUUUAUUUUACAAAUUAAGGUGGGGUGCAGGUUUGCAGGAAAUCCCCUGAGUGCUGACUCAUUCCUUGUUCACAGCCCCUCACAGGAAUUAACAUCAAAUAUGAUCAGCCCCAGGGCUGGCAACAGCAUCUCUGCUCUUUCUUUCUAAAUUCCAGGUAUUGGUAUCCUGGAAUGUCCAAAUCAUUCUCUUCCUUUCUUCUUUCCCCUCACACCCCUGGAUACAUUUAUUUUUUAAAUCCUUCUACUCUUCCAGAUCGAACCAUUUAUAUAGUACUUUAUACUAAUAUUUUCAACAAUGGUAUGUAUGCUAGUCAAUGCUCAGUCACCACCUGGCUCUUUUUGUUGUUAGAUUUUUAAAAAUUUGUUAAACCGGGCAGUGGUGGAGCACGCUUUUAAUCCCAGCACUUGGCAGGCAGAGGUGAAAGUAUAACAAAGUAAAAACAGAAUUCUAGGCCUUUAGGCCCAGGCUUGGGAAUGUGGCCUUUGUAAAGGUAUGCUAAUCAUAAAACAGAUAGGGACAUUCCUCUACCGACCCGCUUCCUGGGUUCAAAGAGUGUUCAUUCAAAGAAAGUCACCCUGACCAUUGCUGGAACCCGCUAUGCAAAUGUGCUUUUGUUAGGGGCUCUUAGAAACUGUUUUGAGAAAUAACCCUCACAAUUACCAGGUAUUCCUCGUGGUGACUCUUGUAACUUUGCACUUCCUUGUGACUCUUUCCCCCCCCCCCCCCCCCAGACAGGGUUUCUCUGUAUAGCCCUAGCUGUCCUGGAACUCACUUUGUUGACCAGGCUGACCUCGAACUCAGAAAUCCGCCUGCCUCUGCCUCCCGAGUGCUGGGAUUAAAGGCAUGCGCCACCACGCCCGGUUCCUUGUGACUCUUAACUGGUAUUUUUGGUAUUUUCCAACAACGCCCUUCCCACCUCCUUGAGUUGUGGUUUCUUCCUUUAAAUACCCCCUUACUCGGGGCACCACGGUCCUCUACCCCUGCGUGGUGUAUGACCAUGGGCCCUAGAGCGCUCUUGAAUAAAAAAAUCCUCUUGCAGUUUGCAGCGAGACCGUUUCUUGUGGGUGAUUUUGGGGUGUCGCCUCUCCUGAGUCAGAACGUGGGGGAGUCCUCAUGUUGUGGGUCUUUCAGAGGCAGGCAGAUUUCUGAGUUCCAGGCCAGCCUGGACUACAGAGUGAGUUCCAGGACAGCCUGGGAUACACAGAGAAACCCUGUCUCAAA